RNAcentral lists this ribosomal RNA (468 nucleotides) under uncultured bacterium. Its description in RNAcentral is "partial 16S ribosomal RNA". It matches the Rfam family "Bacterial small subunit ribosomal RNA", at positions 28 to 507 of the family's 1533-position model. The record is from RNAcentral.
GACGAACGCUGGCGGCGUGCUUAACACAUGCAAGUCGAACGGAAAGGCCCUGCUUUUGUGGGGUGCUCGAGUGGCGAACGGGUGAGUAACACGUGAGUAACCUGCCCUUUACUUUGGGAUAACUUCAGGAAACUGGGGCUAAUAACGGAUAGGAGCUCCUGCUGCAUGGGGGGGGUUGGAAAGUUUCGGCGGUUGGGGAUGGACUCGCGGCUUAUCAGCUUGUUGGGGGGGUAGUGGCUUACCAAGGCUUUGGCGGGUAGCCGGCCUGAGAGGGUGACCGGCCACAUUGGGCCUGGGAUACGGCCCAGACCCCACCGGGAGGCAGCAGUGGGGAAUAUUGCACAAUGGGCGGAAGCCUGAUGCAGCAACGCCGCGUGCGGGAUGACGGCCUUCGGGUUGUAAACCGCUUUCGCCUGUGACGAAGCGUGAGUGACGGUAAUGGGUAAAGAAGCACCGGCUAACUACGUG